UACGUAGGUGACAAGCGUUGUCCGGAUUUACUGGGCGUAAAGAGCGCGCAGGCGGUCGUUCAAGUCGAGUGUGAAAGCUCCCGGCUUAACUGGGAGAGGUCAACGGAAACUACCGGACUUGAGUAUGGGAGAGGGUUCUGGAAUUCCCGGUGUAGCGGUGAAAUGCGCAGAUAUCGGGAGGAACACCAAUGGCGAAAGCAGGAGCCUGGACCAUUACUGACACUCAGCUGCGAAAGCUAGGGGAGCAAACAGG
Molecule: ribosomal RNA, 253 nt
Filed under: uncultured bacterium
Lineage: Bacteria
Description: partial 16S ribosomal RNA
Rfam family: Bacterial small subunit ribosomal RNA
Source: RNAcentral